This 1550-nucleotide ribosomal RNA is filed under the name Staphylococcus aureus. Its description in RNAcentral is "16S ribosomal RNA". It matches the Rfam family "Bacterial small subunit ribosomal RNA". Lineage: Bacteria; Bacillati; Bacillota; Bacilli; Caryophanales; Staphylococcaceae. The record is from RNAcentral.
UUUAUGGAGAGUUUGAUCCUGGCUCAGGAUGAACGCUGGCGGCGUGCCUAAUACAUGCAAGUCGAGCGAACGGACGAGAAGCUUGCUUCUCUGAUGUUAGCGGCGGACGGGUGAGUAACACGUGGAUAACCUACCUAUAAGACUGGGAUAACUUCGGGAAACCGGAGCUAAUACCGGAUAAUAUUUUGAACCGCAUGGUUCAAAAGUGAAAGACGGUCUUGCUGUCACUUAUAGAUGGAUCCGCGCUGCAUUAGCUAGUUGGUAAGGUAACGGCUUACCAAGGCAACGAUGCAUAGCCGACCUGAGAGGGUGAUCGGCCACACUGGAACUGAGACACGGUCCAGACUCCUACGGGAGGCAGCAGUAGGGAAUCUUCCGCAAUGGGCGAAAGCCUGACGGAGCAACGCCGCGUGAGUGAUGAAGGUCUUCGGAUCGUAAAACUCUGUUAUUAGGGAAGAACAUAUGUGUAAGUAACUGUGCACAUCUUGACGGUACCUAAUCAGAAAGCCACGGCUAACUACGUGCCAGCAGCCGCGGUAAUACGUAGGUGGCAAGCGUUAUCCGGAAUUAUUGGGCGUAAAGCGCGCGUAGGCGGUUUUUUAAGUCUGAUGUGAAAGCCCACGGCUCAACCGUGGAGGGUCAUUGGAAACUGGAAAACUUGAGUGCAGAAGAGGAAAGUGGAAUUCCAUGUGUAGCGGUGAAAUGCGCAGAGAUAUGGAGGAACACCAGUGGCGAAGGCGACUUUCUGGUCUGUAACUGACGCUGAUGUGCGAAAGCGUGGGGAUCAAACAGGAUUAGAUACCCUGGUAGUCCACGCCGUAAACGAUGAGUGCUAAGUGUUAGGGGGUUUCCGCCCUUAGUGCUGCAGCUAACGCAUUAAGCACUCCGCCUGGGGAGUACGACCGCAAGGUUGAAACUCAAAGGAAUUGACGGGGACCCGCACAAGCGGUGGAGCAUGUGGUUUAAUUCGAAGCAACGCGAAGAACCUUACCAAAUCUUGACAUCCUUUGACAACUCUAGAGAUAGAGCCUUCCCUUCGGGGACAAAGUGACAGGUGGUGCAUGGUUGUCGUCAGCUCGUGUCGUGAGAUGUUGGGUUAAGUCCCGCAACGAGCGCAACCCUUAAGCUUAGUUGCCAUCAUUAAGUUGGGCACUCUAAGUUGACUGCCGGUGACAAACCGGAGGAAGGUGGGGAUGACGUCAAAUCAUCAUGCCCUUAUGAUUUGGGCUACACACGUGCUACAAUGGACAAUACAAAGGGCAGCGAAACCGCGAGGUCAAGCAAAUCCCAUAAAGUUGUUCUCAGUUCGGAUUGUAGUCUGCAACUCGACUACAUGAAGCUGGAAUCGCUAGUAAUCGUAGAUCAGCAUGCUACGGUGAAUACGUUCCCGGGUCUUGUACACACCGCCCGUCACACCACGAGAGUUUGUAACACCCGAAGCCGGUGGAGUAACCUUUUAGGAGCUAGCCGUCGAAGGUGGGACAAAUGAUUGGGGUGAAGUCGUAACAAGGUAGCCGUAUCGGAAGGUGCGGCUGGAUCACCUCCUUUCU